This 496-nucleotide ribosomal RNA is filed under the name uncultured bacterium. Its description in RNAcentral is "partial 16S ribosomal RNA". It matches the Rfam family "Bacterial small subunit ribosomal RNA", at positions 28 to 523 of the family's 1533-position model. The record is from RNAcentral.
GAUGAACGCUGGCGGCGUGCUUAACACAUGCAAGUCGAACGAGAAUCAACGGAUUGAGGAUUCGUUCAAAUGAAGUUGAGGAAAGUGGCGGACGGGUGAGUAACGCGUGAGGAACCUGCCUCAGAGUGGGGAAUAACAGUUAGAAAUGACUGCUAAUACCGCAUAAUGUAGCGAGAUCGCAUGAUUUUGCUACCAAAGAUUUAUCGCUCUGAGAUGGCCUCGCGUCUGAUUAGCUAGUUGGCGGGGUAACGGCCACCAAGGCGACGAUCAGUAGCCGGACUGAGAGGUUGGCCGGCCACAUUGGGACUGAGACUCGGCCCAGACUCCUACGGGAGGCAGCAGUGGGGAAUAUUGGGCAAUGGGCGCAAGCCUGACCCAGCAACGCCGCGUGAAGGAAGAAGGCUUUCGGGUUGUAAACUUCUUUUGUCAGGGACGAAGUAAGUGACGGUACCUGACGAAUAAGCCACGGCUAACUACGUGCCAGCCGCCGCAGUAA